This is a non-coding RNA of Xiphophorus couchianus (Monterrey platyfish), 1496 nucleotides long. Lineage: Eukaryota; Metazoa; Chordata; Actinopteri; Cyprinodontiformes; Poeciliidae. The record is from the annotation of a RefSeq genome assembly.
AGAUUUAAUAAUCCUGUUCAGAUCAUGAUCCUAACCAUAGAGAAGCUCAGAGCUGCGUGAAGCAUUAAGUUCCAAACAUGACACUGCUGGCUUAUAGGGUAUUAUCACACAAAUAUGAUAGUUAUUUUUUUUGCUAUAAGUCAGAAGAAGGGGGUUAGCAUGCAUCGUAUCGUUUAUCGUGAUAAUAAUUUGGAUUCAUCGUUGUCAUGAUGAAUUCCAAUUAAUGUUUAAACUGAACUGAUCACGGAGUUACAGAAAUAAAUGAACUUUUAAACCAUUCUUUGAAUGAGUCGGUGUACUAAAAACUGGACAUGGCCUGAAACUUGCAGUUUGAGGUUCGCAGCGAAAAACCUGCAUGCAGAAUAUAAAACAUUUUUUAUAUUUCUAUCUUGUGAGGGAAAACGGUGAUGCAAACAGAAGGAGGAGCUGAACAUAAACCUCUGCUCACUGUCCACCACACACCGACAGUAAGCAGACCCUCCCACCUCUAGUGAAGUCAGAGCUCUGAGUUCAGUCGGCUCACAACACAGUCAUGGUCCCAGCUGCUCUCAUAAAGCUCUCUGCAGCUCUGCUCUGGCUUGGAGGUCUAACAGACGGCAGUGAUGUCACUCAGACUCCUCUGCUGUGGGCCAACCAGAGUCAGUCUGCCACCAUCAACUGCAGUCAAAAUAAAGAUGUUGAUCACAACCAGAUGUACUGGUACCAGCAGCUGCCGGGUCAGAACAUGAAGCAAAUAGUUUUCACCAGAGCGUACAGCGCUGCACAGUAUGAAGAAGGCUUCAGCAAGGAGAAGUUUGAAGUAGAGAAGAAAGACGCUUACACCGGGUCUCUGACAGUGAAGCAGCUGCAGCCUGAAGACGGCGGAGUGUAUUUCUGUUCUGUCAGUAAACACAGUGAUGCAGCCGAUUAAAGAGCUGCACAAAAACCCAGACAGUGAAAGAAAACGUCUGUUUUAACCUGUAGAUGGAGCUAAAGAGCAGAGUAGACUGGAUUUUAUACACGCAGGUAUAUCUUUACAUCUUUUACAUGUUUCAGUGAAUAGUAAAAACUAAUUUAAAAAAAGAUUUAUUGUGAUGAAUGUUUAUAAUUCCGAGUAAAAAAUAAGUUCAAGCACACUUAGUAGCCACAACGACAAUAGCAGUUUUCAAACAAUAUGCCCGGCAUCUUGAGCCAAGUUCUGUUUGAUUGUUAUAUCUGUAUUUUGAUAUGAGCACCAUGUCUGUUCUAGCUUGUGUGUGUGUGUUUGGUCAAACUUUAAAUAGUUUUAUGGCGAUCCAAACUCCACAAAAUACAUUUUAAUUAUGCAACUUGACCCAUUUUUGCUUGAUUGUUGCACUGGUAGGUCACUGAAAAACACGGUGGUGACUGAUAUAAACAGUGCAUGAGAUAUAUUCAUAAUUCAGCCGUGACACUCACGAUCAUAAUCUAUCAGCCAUAGAGGAGUUUUAUUCAGGCAUUGGAGCAACAAGCCCCUUAUGGAUCUCCUGCGUGUUUAU